This 86-nucleotide small RNA is filed under the name Arabidopsis thaliana (thale cress). Its description in RNAcentral is "ATSL169170". Lineage: Eukaryota; Viridiplantae; Streptophyta; Magnoliopsida; Brassicales; Brassicaceae. The record is from RNAcentral.
AGUAAAAUGAUCCAAAUCUUAAAUACUAAAACCAGAAAAAAGAACGGAGCGAAUACAUGAAAAACAAAGGUUCUUAAUGGUUCAAA